RNAcentral lists this ribosomal RNA (952 nucleotides) under uncultured bacterium. Its description in RNAcentral is "bacterial SSU rRNA". It matches the Rfam family "Bacterial small subunit ribosomal RNA", at positions 8 to 967 of the family's 1533-position model. The record is from RNAcentral.
AGAGUUUGAUCCUGGCUCAGGGUGAACGCUGGCGGCGUGCCUAACACAUGCAAGUCGAGCGGGGAGGCCCCGAAAGGGGUAGUACCAGCGGCGGACGGGUGAGUAACGCGUGGCUUACCUAUCCUCUGGUGGGGGAUAACUGGGGGAAACUCCAGCUAAUACCGCGUAAGCUCUCCUUAGGGAGAGGAAAGCCGUGAGGCGCCAGGGGAGGGGGCCGCGUCCUAUCAGGUGGUUGGUGGGGUAAAGGCCCACCAAGCCUACGACGGGUAGCCGGCGUGAGAGCGUGGCCGGCCACACCGGGACUGAGACACGGCCCGGACUCCUACGGGAGGCAGCAGUGGGGAAUCUUGGACAAUGGGGGAAACCCUGAUCCAGCGACGCCGCGUGCGGGAAGAAGUCCUUCGGGACGUAAACCGCUGUUGUAGGGGAAGAAUAAGGGGAGGGAGACUCCCCGAUGACGGUACCCUACCAGAAAGCCCCGGCUAACUACGUGCCAGCAGCCGCGGUAAUACGUAGGGGGCGAGCGUUACCCGGAAUUACUGGGCGUAAAGGGGGCGUAGGCGGCCCAGCAAGUCAAGUGUGAAAUCCAGCGGCUCAACCGCUGGGCUGCGCUUGAAACUGCUGGGCUUGAGUGCAGCAGAGGGAGACGGAAUUGCCGGUGUAGGGGUGAAAUCCGUAGAUAUCGGCAAGAACGCCGGUGGGGAAGCCGGUCUCCUGGGCUGUGACUGACGCUGAGGCCCGAAAGCUGGGGGAGCGAACCGGAUUAGAUACCCGGGUAGUCCCAGCCGUAAACGAUGCUCACUAGGUGUGGGGGAGAUAAAUCCUCCGUGCUGAAGCUAACGCGAUAAGUGAGCCGCCUGGGGAGUAUGCCCGCAAGGGUGAAACUCAAAGGAAUUGACGGGGGCCCGCACAAGCGGUGGAGCGCGUGGUUUAAUUGGAUGCUGAGCCAGGA